AUCAAGCUGACAAGUCCUAAAUAGAACGAAAUGCGCGCAUCCUGGAU
This 47-nucleotide non-coding RNA is filed under the name Schistosoma mansoni. Lineage: Eukaryota; Metazoa; Platyhelminthes; Trematoda; Strigeidida; Schistosomatidae. The record is from RNAcentral.